AGCAGCCGCGGUAAUUCCAGCUCCAAUAGCGUAUAUUAAAGUUGCUGCAGUUAAAAAGCUCGUAGUUGAAUUUCGGGACCAAUAUGUCGGUCGUGCCUCGGUACGUACUGGCAUCGUUGGUUUCUCCCUUCUGACGAACCAUGAUGUCAUUUAUUUGGUGUCGUGGGGAAUCAGGACUGUUACUUUGAAAAAAUUAGAGUGUUUAAAGCAGGCUCACGCUUGAAUACAUUAGCAUGGAAUAAUGAAAUAGGACGUUUGAUUCUAUUUUGUUGGUUUCUAGGAUCGACGUAAUGAUUAAUAGGGAUAGUUGGGGGCAUUAGUAUUCAAUUGUCAGAGGUGAAAUUCUUGGAUUUAUUGAAGACUAACUACUGCGAAAGCAUUUGCCAAGGAUGUUUUCAUUAAUCAAGAACGAAAGUUAGGGGAUCGAAGACGAUCAGAUACCGUCGUAGUCUUAACCAUAAACUAUGCCGACUAGGGAUCGGAUGAUGUUAAUUUUUAAUGACUCAUUCGGCGCCUUAAC
RNAcentral lists this ribosomal RNA (520 nucleotides) under uncultured Glomus. RNAcentral's name for it is "SSU rRNA". It matches the Rfam family "Eukaryotic small subunit ribosomal RNA", at positions 569 to 1092 of the family's 1831-position model. Lineage: Eukaryota; Fungi; Glomeromycota; Glomeromycetes; Glomerales; Glomeraceae. The record is from RNAcentral.